Molecule: ribosomal RNA, 492 nt
Filed under: uncultured bacterium
Lineage: Bacteria
Description: partial 16S ribosomal RNA
Rfam family: Bacterial small subunit ribosomal RNA
Source: RNAcentral
AGUGAACGCAGGCGGUAGGCCUAACACAUGCAAGUCGAACGGCAGCACAGUAAGAGCUUGCUCUUACGGGUGGCGAGUGGCGGACGGGUGAGGAAUACAUCGGAAUCUACUUUUUCGUGGGGGAUAACGUAGGGAAACUUACGCUAAUACCGCAUACGACCUACGGGUGAAAGCAGGGGAUCUUCGGACCUUGCGCGAUUGAAUGAGCCGAUGUCGGAUUAGCUAGUUGGCGGGGUAAAGGCCCACCAAGGCGACGAUCCGUAGCUGGUCUGAGAGGAUGAUCAGCCACACUGGAACUGAGACACGGUCCAGACUCCUACGGGAGGCAGCAGUGGGGAAUAUUGGACAAUGGGCGCAAGCCUGAUCCAGCCAUACCGCGUGGGUGAAGAAGGCCUUCGGGUUGUAAAGCCCUUUUGUUGGGAAAGAAAAGCAGCAGGUUAAUACCCCGCUGUUCUGACGGUACCCAAAGAGUAAGCACCGGCUAACUUCGUG